UACGGGGGGAGCAAGCGUUGUUCGGAUUUACUGGGCGUAAAGGGCGCGUAGGCGGUCGUGACAAGUCACUUGUGAAAUCUCCGGGCUUAACUCGGAACGGUCAAGUGAUACUGUCGGACUAGAGUACAGAAGGGGCAACUGGAAUUCUCGGUGUAGCGGUGAAAUGCGUAGAUAUCGAGAGGAACACCAGUGGCGAAGGCGAGUCUCUGGACAAAUCCUGACGCUGAGGCACGAAAGCUAGGGGAGCAAACAGG
RNAcentral lists this ribosomal RNA (254 nucleotides) under uncultured bacterium. RNAcentral's name for it is "partial 16S ribosomal RNA". It matches the Rfam family "Bacterial small subunit ribosomal RNA", at positions 524 to 776 of the family's 1533-position model. The record is from RNAcentral.